This 58-nucleotide transfer RNA is filed under the name Gadopsis marmoratus. RNAcentral describes it as "tRNA-Cys". Lineage: Eukaryota; Metazoa; Chordata; Actinopteri; Centrarchiformes; Percichthyidae. The record is from RNAcentral.
AGUCCCGAGUAUUUUGGAUUGCAAACCCAAAGAAGUAGACUAACGUCUGCCGGGGCUU